UUUUAGGGCACUCCUACCAAAAUCACCAAUUCCGAAAUGAAGAUUUGGUAAUUGGAGAUGUAUCCAGUGAAAGUUGGAUAUUGAAAUUCGAACGAGAAGAUUUUGAGCACUGGAAAGCGAUAACUAUUAGAGGCAAUGGCGGAUGUAACUUACCUAGAAGAAGGCCAUUAUUCUAUCUGUUUUGUCUUUCAAUUGCUGCUAUACCUUGCCAGUUAAGAUCGUUUUCACAGCGUGGUGUCUUAUUUAGGUAGCUCCGAGACUCCUGAAGAUAACCAGCACUAAAUUCAGCAUUUCAAACUCAACCCCCUAAUUUGGUGGUAGUGAUGCUUUCAUUUCUUUUACGGAAGUUGGAUAACAACCAAAGCUUCAAUCAUACUAAUGUGGAACCCAACGUCAAAGUGUUUGAAGUGGAAAUGGAAAAUCAAUAAAAAGUGGAUGUUGGAGGAAGCACAUGUUUCAUGUAAGUUCCCUAAGCUUACAUUUUUUGUACUGAUUUUUCUCUUUUAUUUUUAUAGGUAAAUAAUUGUAAUGAAUGUUGAGAGAAGUUUCAUAUAUACGUGGGAGGGAAAAGUGCUGUUAGGAGCCCCAGCCAGAAGUUUCUGUGUGUAAUACACAUCUCUCCCUCCAUGCCGUGGAAUUCCACAUAUUAUACAUUUGCAAGUUUUUGAGCUACAGCUGCAUACCUAGCCGUAAUAAUUCGCCGUAUCAUUUAAAACCGAAAAUGUUAGUUGACAACCAAUAAUAUUGCAGCAAAUGCAAGUGCGCAAUUAAUCGACACGCUCCUGUCUGAAAAUUCGUUCGAGCCCAAAAGCUUCCAGGUAUUUCGGAAGGCCUAACGCUUCCGGCUAUGUAUCCUUUUUCUCUAGUUGCAGCACCGACAUUGCCUCGAGUUUUUGUAUUUUUUCACGUCUCGUUUGUCAAGAAAAAUCUGUCUUUAC
This is a long non-coding RNA of Daphnia carinata, 938 nucleotides long. RefSeq lists it as uncharacterized. The record is from RefSeq and is a predicted model, not a curated record. The transcript has 3 exons. Lineage: Eukaryota; Metazoa; Arthropoda; Branchiopoda; Diplostraca; Daphniidae.